This 1199-nucleotide long non-coding RNA is filed under the name Equus asinus (donkey). RNAcentral describes it as "lncRNA (ENSEASG00005036895.1)". The record is from RNAcentral. Lineage: Eukaryota; Metazoa; Chordata; Mammalia; Perissodactyla; Equidae.
GUGCUAUGAAUCCGUAGCUUUCAAUAAAUAUUAUAAAGAUGAAAAUGAUAAACACUCAGAAAUUACGCACUAGUCCAGCAUACCCAUACAGGAAAUCCUCUAGGGUACCAGGAGAAGUAUUCUGGCAAAUGUUUUGAUUCUAAAGUUUUCUCAUUCCACUGACUUUAUUACAGACCCUAGCACUUAAUAUUUUCUCCCAGAUUCCUCCUCCCAGUAUGACUCUCCAGGAGCCAGUCUGGUUGAAUUGGCAGAGUCUUCAAUAUGCAAGGAGACCAUAGCCAUCCUCAACCUAUAGCUCAGAAUCAAGCUUUUGCUAUAGAUAGAAACAUCUAGAUGGUUUGGGUGAGCAUGGAGUGAAGAGGAUACUUCAGGAUUUAUAAAAUGGAAGAAGAUGAGACUGUGUCUGUGAGCAGAAGAGCAUCACUGGACUCAGCUGAGAAAACUGGGAGGAAGCUUCGAAUGGAUAUCUGCAUACUUGUGUUCACAGCAGCAUCAUUCACAGUAGUCAAAAGGCAGAAGCAACCCAAAUGCCCAUGGACAGAUGAGGGGGUAAACAAAAUGUGAUGUACACAGACAAUGGGAUAUUAUCCAGCCUCAAAAAGGAAGGAAAUUCUGACACACACUACAACAUGGAUGAACCUUGAAGACAUUAUACUAAUCGAAAUAAGCCAGACACAAGAGAACGAGUACAAUAUGAUUCCAUUAAUGUGAAGUAUCUGGAAUAGUCCAAUUCACAGAGACAAAAGGAGAAUGGUGGUUACCAGAGGCUGGAAGGGGUUGGGGAAGGGAGAAUUAGUGUUUAACGGGCGCUGAGUUUCAGUCUGGGGAGCUGAAAAAGCUCUGGUGAUGGAUGCCGGUGAUGAUGGCACAACUACCUGAAUGUACCUAGUGCCAAUGAACUGUACACUUAAAAAUCGUUAAAAUGAUAAAUUUUAUGUUAUGUAUAUUUUAUCACAAUAAAAAAUUUAAGGGCUGGCCCCGUGGCCGAGUGGUUAAGUUCGCGCGCUCCGCUGCAGGCAGCCCAGCGUUUCGUUGGUUCGAAUCCUGGGUGCGGACAUGGCACUGCUCAUCAGACCACGCUGAGGCAGCGUCCCACAUGCCACAACUAGAAGAACCCACAACGAAGAAUAUACAACUAUGUACCGGGGGGCUUUGGGGAGAAAAAGGAAAUAAUAAAAUCUUUAAAAAAAAAAAAAAUU